UUCUAACCCGCACCACUUAUCGUGGUGGGAGACAGUGUCAGGCGGGCAGUUUGACUGGGGCGGUCGCCUCCUAAAAGGUAACGGAGGCGCUCAAAGGUUUCCUCAGAAUGGUUGGAAAUCAUUCAUAGAGUGUAAAGGCAUAAGGGAGCUUGACUGCGAGACCUACAAGUCGAGCAGGGUCGAAAGACGGACUUAGUGAUCCGGUGGUUCCGCAUGGAAGGGCCAUCGCUC
RNAcentral lists this ribosomal RNA (231 nucleotides) under Staphylococcus aureus subsp. aureus 301-188. Its description in RNAcentral is "partial 23S ribosomal RNA". It matches the Rfam family "Bacterial large subunit ribosomal RNA", at positions 2220 to 2450 of the family's 2925-position model. Lineage: Bacteria; Bacillati; Bacillota; Bacilli; Caryophanales; Staphylococcaceae. The record is from RNAcentral.